GCCCAGGCCCAGCUGGGAGCUCUUUGGGGAGCAGAGCACUUGGGGUCCCCUGCACCAUGGCCUGGCCUCUUGUCUGCCUCUUCCUGCUCACUCUCUGCUCAAGUUCCUUCUCCCAGCUUGUGGUGAUUCAGCCUCCCUCUGCCUCUGCAUCCCUGGGAGCCACAGCCAAACUCUCCUGCACCCUGAGCAGUGGGUACACUAAUUACGGUGUUGUUUGGCACCAGCAGAGCCCAGGAAAGGCCCCUCGGUAUAUCAUGUAUGUCAGCAGCAGUGGAGGUGGAAGCAGAGGCGACGGGAUCCCUGAUCGCUUCUCUGGCUCUGCCUCUGGGGCCACCAGAUACUUGUCCAUCAGCAACAUCCAGCCUGAGGAUGAGGCCGAUUAUUACUGUGGAGCAAAUUAUGGUACUGGUGGAUCCACAGUGAUACAUUCAGUGGGGAAGUGA
Dromiciops gliroides (monito del monte) is the source of this 443-nucleotide non-coding RNA. NCBI's taxonomy places the organism in Eukaryota, Metazoa, Chordata, Mammalia, Microbiotheria, Microbiotheriidae. The record is from the annotation of a RefSeq genome assembly.